UACGUAGGGUGCGAGCGUUGUCCGGAUUUAUUGGGCGUAAAACGCGCGUAGGCGGACCUGCAAGUCGGGGGUGAAAGCCCGAGGCUCAACCUCGGAACUGCCUUCGAUACUGCGGGUCUCGAGUCCGGGAGAGGUGAGUGGAAUUCCUAGUGUAGAGGUGAAAUUCGUAGAUAUUAGGAAGAACACCAGUGGCGAAGGCGGCUCACUGGCCCGGUACUGACGCUGAGGCGCGAAAGCGUGGGGAGCAAACAGG
This 253-nucleotide ribosomal RNA is filed under the name uncultured bacterium. Its description in RNAcentral is "partial 16S ribosomal RNA". It matches the Rfam family "Bacterial small subunit ribosomal RNA", at positions 524 to 776 of the family's 1533-position model. The record is from RNAcentral.